Molecule: ribosomal RNA, 421 nt
Filed under: uncultured bacterium
Lineage: Bacteria
Description: bacterial SSU rRNA
Rfam family: Bacterial small subunit ribosomal RNA
Source: RNAcentral
CCAGCAGCCGCGGUAAUACGUAGGGGGCAAGCGUUAUCCGGAUUUACUGGGUGUAAAGGGAGCGUAGGUGGUUCGGUAAGUCAGAUGUGAAAGCCCGGGGCUCAACCCCGGGACUGCAUUUGAAACUAUCGAACUAGAGUGCAGGAGAGGUAAGUGGAAUUCCUAGUGUAGCGGUGAAAUGCGUAGAUAUUAGGAGGAACACCAGUGGCGAAGGCGGCUUACUGGACUGUAACUGACACUGAGGCUCGAAAGCGUGGGGAGCAAACAGGAUUAGAUACCCUGGUAGUCCACGCGGUAAACGAUGAAUACUAGGUGUCGGGGGUCAAAAGACCUCCGGUGCCGGCGCAAACGCAUUAAGUAUUCCACCUGGGGAGUACGUUCGCAAGAAUGAAACUCAAAGGAAUUGACGGGGGCCCGCACA